Long non-coding RNA from Gossypium raimondii (Peruvian cotton), 4261 nucleotides. RefSeq lists it as uncharacterized. NCBI's taxonomy places the organism in Eukaryota, Viridiplantae, Streptophyta, Magnoliopsida, Malvales, Malvaceae. The record is from RefSeq and is a predicted model, not a curated record. The transcript is spliced from 6 exons.
CCAUGUUUGUUUCUGAUGAGCCUAUCAAAUAUUCUUUUGUGGCUGCGUGGAUUCAUCUCUUUUAGUAGAGUAUAUGGUGUUCAUUUCAGAAUAUUGACUUCUUAUUCAUAUGGAUAGCGGGGUUUUGUUAUAGCUUUGGUUGCUUAAUUUAGUGAAAAAUGUUACGGUGGUUGGCAACUUUACAUAUUUUAGGUUGUCCAAUAUGAGUUUUAGAUCGAUCUGGUUAAAUCAUAAUAGGACUUGUUUAUGCUUUGGGUGUCAUAUUUGAGCGCGACACACAUUGAUUGCUAUUUUGGCACCUACAUAUGCAUCUUUUUCCAUGAGUAUCUCUCAUUGUUAAAACUAUGACUUGAAUUGUUUAAUCGUUUUUCUACUAAUUAAGUAUCGUAGAAUGUUAUCUAGUCAGUAUUCUCAUUUGUGCUAUAUUAAUUAAUUGUUCUUUUGGAUUAUUGCAUGAGUGUUUCCCUAAUGCUAGUAUUCUAUUUUGCUUACUAUUUACUAAAAUUUUAUCUGAUAUUGUUUAGUUGACCAACCUGCAAGAACAUUAGCAAAAUUUUAUCUGAUAUUCCUUUCGUCUAAAGAGCUCAUUACACCAAAAGAGGCCUUUAGCGGCGCAUAUAGCGGCGUUUUAAAGCAAAACGCCACAAAAAACCGAGCAAUAGCGGCGAGUGUUAAAAAACGCCGGCAAUUACAAGAAACAGCGGCGAUUACCCAAAAGCGCCGCAAAUGAGUUAGGUAAACGGUACCGUUUUCAUGGUCAGAUUCAAAGACAUUAGUGGCGCUUUAAAGAAAACGCCGCAAAAGUGAUUAACAGACGAUGCCGUAUUAAUUUACGUUUGAUGACAUUAGUGGCGUUUAUAAGUAAACGCCGAAAAAGAUCAUGUAUUCGCGGCGCGUUCACAAAAGCGCCGCAAAUCUGAUUAACAGACGACGACUUGUUUGAUUUACGUUUGAUGACAUUAGUGGCGUUUUCGCGAAGCGCCACAAAGUUUUUCACCGAACGACGCCGUUUUCUUGUUAAAUUUUAGACAGAAAUAGUGGCGUUUUAAAUGAAGCGCCGCUGAAGCCAAUCAUUAGCGGCGCAAAAACGGAAGCGCCGGAAAAUGUUUCAAGCAUACGCCGUCUUAGGGACAAUAGUAGCAGCGCUUUACUGGAACGCCACAAAAGAUUUUACCGAACGACAUCGUUUUCGUGUUGAGUUUUAUACACUAUGGUGGCGCUUUAAAGAAAUCGCCGCUGAAGUCAAUCAUUAGCGGCGCUUCCAAUUAAGCGCCGCAAUAAGUUUUAAGCAUACGCCGUCGUUUUCUGUUGUGCUUAGGAACAUUAGUGGCGGUUUGCUAAAAACGCCGCAAAUGUCAAGCAUUAGCGGUAAUAGUUUUAGCCAAACGACAAUGGUUUUUUUUUCAGAUUUUAGAGAUAUUAGUGGCGCUUAGCUAAAAAUGCCACAAUGUUCAAUAAUUUUAAUUAAAACGACGUCGUUUUGUUGUAUAGGUUUAGGUACAUUAGCGGCGCAACUUUUAAAAACGCCGCAUAAGUUAAGCAUUAGCGGCACUUUGUUGUAAGCGCCGCAAAAAGAUUUAAGCAAACGGUGUCAUUUUCUGGUGGAGGUUUAGAGACAUUAGUGGCGCGUUUUGGGGAAGCGCCGCAAAUUGUUAAGCAAAACAAUAUUUUUUUGUUGAGCUUUCAAUGCAUUGGCGGUUUAGGGAUUAUGGAUUUAGGCCUUACGGUUUAUUGUUUAUUGUUUAAGGGUUGAGGUUUAAGGUUUAAGGUUUAUAGUUUAUAUAUGUUUUAUGAUUUAGGGUUUAUAUGUUCUAUGGUUCAGGGUUUAAGGAAUAUGGCUGAGUUAGGGGUUUAGGGAUUAUGGUGCAAUGGUUAGGGUCUAAGGUUUAAGUGUUUAGGGUUAAAGGUUAGGGGUUAGGGGUUAAGGGUUAGGGGUUUAUAGUUAAUGUUUUAUGAUUGAAGGUUUAGGGGAUAUGGUUAAGGUUAUAUAUGUAUUAUGGUUUGUGGUUUAUCAUUUGAGGUUGGGGCUUAGGGUGUAGGUGUUAAGGGGUUAAGGGUCAUGGUUUAUGAUUUAUAGGUUUAAAAUUUAGGGUUGAAGGGAUAAGAGGGUUUAGGUUAAUUUAGGGUUAAGGGUUAAGUGUUUAGUGUUAAGGGUUAAGGGUUUAAGGUUUAAGGUUUAAGGUUUAAGAAAUAGAGUUUACGAUUUAGGGUUUAGGGGAUAGAGGUUGUGGUUUACGGUCUAGGUUAUUUAGUAUUUUUGAAAAUUACAACUUGACUUUACCGAAUUUAAUUUUUAAAUUGAUGUUUUAGAAAAAUACAAACACUAUCUACGGAUUAAGUUCCUACCUUAAAUUUUAAUAAAAAACCAUCACUAAAAAUCAAAUUUCCCAUUUAAUAGAAUUAAAAAUAAUAUUGUCAUAUUGUUGUAUGAUAUUUCAUUUUUUUAAAUUAUUAAAUAUUUGGAAAUUAUUUACGCUAGUGGCGUUUCGGCCAGAAACGCCGCAAAAAUGUGUUUAAAAUUACGUAAAACGGCGCCGUUUGGCUACAGGAAUUUGAAUUUUAGUGGCUUUUUUCAUAAAAACGCCACUGAAGGUAUGCUAUAGUGGCGUUUUAUAUUGAAACGCCGCAAAUCCAUAAAUGUUUGUCUGUACAAAAACGGCGUCGUUUUCUUAAAUGAUUUGAACUCCUUACUGGCGUUUUUAUUUAAAAUUCCGCAAACUGUGAUCUUUAGCGGUGUUUGAUAUGGAAACGCCACAAAUGUGUAUUACAAAAUGUUCAGAACGUCACCGUUUCGUUACAUGAAUUUGAAUUUUAGUGGCGUUUUUAUGAAAAACGCCACAGAAGGUAUACAGUAGUGGCGUUUUUAUAGAAACGUCGCAAAUCCAUAUAUGUUUUUGUGAACAAAAACAGCGUCGUUUUCUUAAAUGAUUUGAACUCGUUAGUGGCGUUUGUAUUUAAAACGCCGCAACUAUAAGCUUUAGCGGCGUUUAGUAUGAAAACGCCACAAAUGUGUAUUACAAAAUGUUCAGAACGUCGCCGUUUCGGUUGAGGAACAAUUCUGUUAUUCAGAACGUCGUCGUUCUGCUUGGCGUCACAUAUUUUUCCCCUUUCGAACCCUAAAACCCGUACCCAGCCCCUAAACUCAGCUUCCUUCCCCUUCCCCUUCCAAAUCCCUAAUUUCCUUUCGAAAUCUCCUCCACUCCUCUAAUUCCAGAAAUUGACGGAGUCAUUUAGUUUAUUCGGUUCUUCAUUUCGUCGGUAUAGUGCGUUCAAUUCUUCAUAGCAUUUAGAGGAAGACGAACAGUGGAAUAGUUUUUGGGGUAAGCAUGAACCGGUUUGAUUUCCCUCUUUUUUUUCGUGUUUAGGGUUCAAUAUCGUUAACAAUCCAUUUCGUCCAUGGAUUUAGGGUUGCCGAACACAUAAAACAGUGUCAUUUUUUAGUACGGUGGAAUCACAUCCGGCCCGAUUUACUUUCUCUCCGUCUUCGUUUAGCAUUUUAGUUUUGGCAAUCUAGUCUGCAAAUUUGGUACCUCUCACUGGUUUGAAACAAUACAUAGAAAGGGUAGAUAACCAGAAGAUAAAAUGCCUAGAAGAAAAAUUCUAAGGGAAAGCAUUGUUCAAAAUGAUCCAAACUCGACAGAAACAAAUAGUACUGAACAAUAGACAGCAAUUGGAUCUUCGAAUGUUCCGAUUUCACCUGAGGAUCCUACGGAAGUUCAAACUGAAAAUGGUGGGACGCGCAAAGGUCGAGGACGUACGAUACUUAGAGAGUUAUACGAGUUAGAUCCAGUCGAGCGUGUUAAGGUAUGUAGAAACAGUUUUGGUCAGCCUGUUGGAUCAGAAGCUCGACUUUUAGCAAGAUACAUGGGCAUUUUAGCACGAAAUGCGAAUAUGUUGCCUAUCAACUACGAGUCAUGGCAUCAAAUGCCUGAUAGCAACAAAAACCAAGCCCUCGGUAAUAUUAAGGCGAGGUUUGCUUUAGAGGUCUCGGAUGCUUAUGUAAAGAAGGCAUUGGAAAAAAGAUGGAGAGAUAAUAAAAGUACUUUGAAGAAAAAUUAUUAUAAGACAAAAACAACCCUCGAUGAGAAAUUGCAAAAUGUCCCACCAGGUAUGUUGAGGUACCAAUGGGAAGAUGCGGUUAGAUUUUGGCAUUCGAAGAAAGGCGAGGAUCGUGAACGAGUUGGAAAAAGCAUCCGGCAACAACAAAAAUUCACUCACACAGCCGGGUCGAGAAGUUUUGCAUGUGUAGCUGAGGCGGAGG